Long non-coding RNA from Lolium perenne, 1483 nucleotides. RefSeq lists it as uncharacterized. The record is from RefSeq and is a predicted model, not a curated record. Lineage: Eukaryota; Viridiplantae; Streptophyta; Magnoliopsida; Poales; Poaceae.
AUAUAGAGCUGGACUAUUCUCGAACCCCCCUUAAGAGGGGUUGUAGAAUAGCUAUUCUCAAACCCCCUAUUCCCGCUUUAGUUUCUUAUCCCAAAACCGCCCCAUCUGAACGCCCGAGAAAAGCAGGUACCACCGCCCACGCGGAACCACCUCGGGCUGACCCAAACGCCCCCCAUCGCUCGUCAACCCCCACGCGACCCAGUCGCCCGCCUGUGCCCCUUCCACGAGCUCCGGCGUGCCGCCGGCGGGUCAGCGAGCCACCUCCCCGACCUCCCAUGCCCCGCGGCGGGCCACACUUCCUCAACCACCUUCUGCGCUGCGUUGGCAGGCCACCGUGCACCCCGCGCCGCCCUCCCCUUCUAGGAUGAGGGCAUCCGUCCCGGCGCCGCCAAAUUCGCCUCCAAAUCGCGCGCAUCCCGCCCGGCGAUGCCCUGCCGCGCGCACCGAUAGGUUCUCCACUCUGCCUCAUGCGCUCCCCUUCCCUAGUAGCCCCCCCGCCCCCUUCUUCCCUGAUGGAUCCGAUGGAUCUCUGGCCGGAUUACCUCCACGCCACUGCCGCUGGCGCCCCUCCACUGCUAGGAGUUCACCUUCCCCUGGCCCGAUCUGGAGCACACCGGCAUAGCCCACCCUUCCCUCCUCGUCCACAUGCCCCGGAGCCUUUCUGAACCCCCGUGGUACUUGCGCGAGCAACGACCAUCCCUGGCCAUCUGUGUUGUUGCUGGAUGCACGACGCCUGCCUUUGUGGCUGCCCCUAUUCUGCUUUUGGGCCGUGGGUGCGGCUCCUAUCCCGGCACGCUGUUUCACUUCCUUCUUUCCCUGAACUAAUGCGUGAAGUCUAGAAGUUCAGCUCGUCCUAAUGCCUGUAGUUGGCUUUUAAAUACUUCAGGUUAUUCACUUCUUACACUGUUGGAUGGAUGACUCUGUUCCUUUUCUUUUAGCCGGUAUAUCAUGGGUGCACUGCACGGUGUGCAUUUCUUUCGUGAGGGAGUUCGCCUCUCUGUAGGAUUGCUUUAGUUACUUUUUUUUGGAUAAAACCAUUUCCUGCUAGUUGAUGUAGAAUUGUCGGCGAUGCUUAAACUUCUGAAUACAGCUGCAGGUGUGCUGAGAUUUUUAUACAAAUGGUGUAUUCGUGAUUUAUAUUCGCCAAAGUUUAGAUAAUUACAUCACACAAACUAAUUUCAUAAUUUUUUUGCAUCUGGUCCACCAAGAGAGCCACCGCUAGGAGUGCCUGCACCGUUGGGUGCUAUUUCUGACUUGCUCCAGCUGCUGAACUGAACUGGCAGUGCACUUAUGACACCUAUGGGGAGUUCACUAGCGCUCAUCGCUAGAUUUCGCCAGGAACCAUGGCGGGAGUCCAACUUGAAGCGCAGCACCCGCAGGUUGUGGGUACUAUUCUGAUUCUCGAGAGGAAGUUCACUUUGGAUUGAAAAAUAGUUCUAUCAGGACGCACAUGGAGCCCUCCAAUUGAAGAAGUUAUCUAGUC